RNAcentral lists this ribosomal RNA (274 nucleotides) under uncultured bacterium. Its description in RNAcentral is "partial 16S ribosomal RNA". It matches the Rfam family "Bacterial small subunit ribosomal RNA", at positions 523 to 796 of the family's 1533-position model. The record is from RNAcentral.
AUACGGAGGGUGCAAGCGUUACUCGGAAUCACUGGACGUAAAGCGCGCGCAGGCGGCUAUUUAAGUUGGAUGUGAAAGCCUACGGCUCAACCGUAGAACUGCAUCCAAAACUAUUUAGCUAGAGUGUGGGAGAGGAAGAUGGAAUUAGUUGUGUAGGGGUAAAAUCCGUAGAGAUAACUAGGAAUACCAAAAGCGAAGGCAAUCUUCUGGAACACUACUGACGCUGAGGCGCGAAAGCGUGGGGAGCAAACAGGAUUAGAAACCCUAGUAGUCC